GACGAACGCUGGCGGCGUGCUUAACACAUGCAAGUCGAGCGGUAAGGCCCUUUCGGGGGUACACGAGCGGCGAACGGGUGAGUAACACGUGGGUGACCUGCCCUCAGCUCUGGGAUAAGCCUGGGAAACUGGGUCUAAUACUGGAUAUGACUCCACGGUGCAUGUCGUGGGGUGGAAAGUCCUUGUGCGGCUGAGGAUGGGCCCGCGGCCUAUCAGCUUGUUGGUGGGGUGANGGCCUACCAAGGCGACGACGGGUAGCCGGCCUGAGA
Molecule: ribosomal RNA, 269 nt
Filed under: uncultured bacterium
Lineage: Bacteria
Description: partial 16S ribosomal RNA
Rfam family: Bacterial small subunit ribosomal RNA
Source: RNAcentral